This 75-nucleotide transfer RNA is filed under the name Serendipita sp. 399. RNAcentral's name for it is "tRNA-Ile". It matches the Rfam family "tRNA". Rfam says of the family: Transfer RNA (tRNA) molecules are approximately 80 nucleotides in length. Their secondary structure includes four short double-helical elements and three loops (D, anti-codon, and T loops). Further hydrogen bonds mediate the characteristic L-shaped molecular structure. tRNAs have two regions of fundamental functional importance: the anti-codon, which is responsible for specific mRNA codon recognition, and the 3' end, to which the tRNAs corresponding amino acid is attached (by aminoacyl-tRNA synthetases). tRNAs cope with the degeneracy of the genetic code in two manners: having more than one tRNA (with a specific anti-codon) for a particular amino acid; and 'wobble' base-pairing, i.e. permitting non-standard base-pairing at the 3rd anti-codon position. The record is from RNAcentral. Lineage: Eukaryota; Fungi; Basidiomycota; Agaricomycetes; Sebacinales; Serendipitaceae.
GGUCGACUAGCUCAGUUCGGUUAGAGCGCCGAGCUAAUAACUCGGAGGUCCUGGGUUCGAUCCCCAUGUUGACCA